RNAcentral lists this ribosomal RNA (365 nucleotides) under uncultured eukaryote. RNAcentral's name for it is "partial 18S ribosomal RNA". It matches the Rfam family "Eukaryotic small subunit ribosomal RNA", at positions 592 to 975 of the family's 1831-position model. The record is from RNAcentral.
CAAUAGCGUAUAUUAAAGUUGUUGCAGUUAAAAAGCUCGUAGUUGAAUUUCUGGUGGGCGCGCCGGUCUUCCAAGUGUUGUACUGGGCGCAGUCCGUCAUCCUUGUGGAGAGGGCUCGCAUUGAGUUGCGUGUCGGAUCUGCAUCAUUUACUGUGAAAAAAUUAGAGUGUUUAAAGCAGGCUGUCGCUUGAAUACAUUAGCAUGGAAUAAUAAGAUAGGACUUCGGUCUAUUUUGUUGGUUGCGAACCGAGGUAAUGAUUAAUAGGGAUAGUUGGGGGUAUUCAUAUUUAAUUGUCAGAGGUGAAAUUCUUGGAUUUAUGAAAGAUGAACAACUGCGAAAGCAUUUACCAAGGAUGUUUUCAUUA